This is an RNA transcript of Trematomus bernacchii (emerald rockcod), 2421 nucleotides long. It is a transcript of the gene named fatty acyl-CoA hydrolase precursor, medium chain-like, with no coding region annotated. The transcript has 14 exons. Lineage: Eukaryota; Metazoa; Chordata; Actinopteri; Perciformes; Nototheniidae. The record is from RefSeq and is a predicted model, not a curated record.
GUGUGAGAUAUUGUACUGUAGUGGAAACAACAUUUCUGUACUUAUACUUAUGCAAGGUUAAAAUGACAGUUUUAGAUACAGACAGUAAGUGUUUAUAAGCCUAGCUCAAAUAUAACCGUCCGGAAAGUCUUGUCGAUGUCUUUUUAUUGAUGUAAAUGACCAGUUGCUUUGAUAUAAAAGCGACAGAGUCACGCCUUGUCAUGCACGUAAUAGGUUAAUAAGUGCAGGAUUCAACUGGUCAAAGUUGAGACGGCUUCUUUGGAGGUUUCAUUUCCAGUUUGCAAGUCCUUCCUGUUUGCAGAACCAAGCAGUGUGUAACCAGCCGAGACCAUGACGUCCCGUGCAAAACAAACUUUCUUCUUUCUGACGUCUGUUUUAUUCCUCGAUGUUGCUGCAGAUCCACAUGCACCUGAAGUCCACACAAAGCUGGGAAGCCUGAGAGGUCAGACUCUGAGUGUCAAGGGGCAGGAGAAUGGGGUCCAUGCCUACCUGGGUAUCCCAUUUGCAAAGCCACCUGUGGGCCCUGCUCUGAGACUGGCUGCCCCCCAGCCUGUGGAGGGAUGGGAAGGAGUGAGAGACGCCACCAAGCAGCCCCCCAUGUGUGUUCAAUAUAAAAAGUUAACCAUAGAUCUGUUGGAAAAACUUGGUGCCAUGGUCGUGGAUUUGCCAGACAUUUCAGAGGACUGCCUUUACCUCAACAUUUACACUCCUGCCAACAGAACUCCCGAUGCCAAGCUUCCAGUCAUGGUCUGGAUUCAUGGUGGAGGGUUUGGUAUGGGGUCAGCUUCCACGUAUGAUGGCUCCGCCCUGGCUGCUUACCAGGAUAUGGUCGUAGUUCUGAUCCAGUACCGUUUGGGACUUCUGGGCUUUCUCAGCACUGGAGAUGAGCACAUGUCUGGGAACUUUGGCAUGUUGGAUCAGGUAGAAGCUCUGAGGUGGAUCCAGCAGCACAUUCACAACUUUGGAGGAAACCCAGAUGUAGUUACAAUAUUUGGGGAGUCUGCUGGCGGAGUGAGCGUAUCUCUACUGCUCCUCUCACCGUUGUCUGAUGGCCUCUUCCAUCAUGCCAUUGCUGAGAGUGGCACUGCUGGAAUGGAUCUUCUUGUUUCAAAUAAUCCUCUACCAGUAGCACAGAUGGUGGCAAAUAUGUCUGGCUGUAGCCUCGAAAGCACACAGAAGAUCGCUGAUUGCAUGAGAAUCAUUGACGUAAAAACUAUUGAGGCUUUGGGAGAGGAUCUAACCUUGAAAAUCUCUGUAAAUGUUGAUGGACACUUCCUGAGAAAAACAGUGGACGAGCUGUUCCGUACACAUGAACUUCUUACCGUACCAUUCUUGACCGGCAUUAAUAAUGAUGAAGGGGGCUGGAUGAUUGCUGGUUUUUUUGCUCCUCCAAACUGGACAGAGGGGAUAGAUAAGGAGCAUUUGAUGAACUCUCUGUACCUCUUCUUCCCUAAUCCCGAAGAUGCAAUUCUUAGAGAGUUAGUGUUAGAGGAAUAUAUUGGAACGGGUGAAGAUCGUGUGAAAAAUAGAGACGGGUUCACCGAGCUGUUAGGGGAUAUGAUUUUUAACAUUCCUGCCAUUAAGACCGCUAUUGUCCACAGAGAUGCAGGUGCUGAUGUAUACCUGUAUGAGUACCAGUAUCCUCCACAAAUCCUGAAGUCAAGAAGGCCAAGCUUUGUUGGGAGUGACCACGGAGAUGAGAUCUUUACAGUUUUCGGAUUGUGCUUUACAACUACCCAUGUCACAUUACCCGAGCCAUGCACUGAGGAGGAGGAACAGCUUAGCAGAAAAAUGAUGAGCUACUGGAGCAACUUUGCUCGCACAGGGUCUCCUAAUGGGGAUGGGCUGGCCCACUGGCCAAAGUACAGCACAGGAGAAGAAUACUUGUCAAUUGAUUUAAAGGAGCAGGUAGCUGGCCAGCACCUUAGGGAGAAGAAGUUUGUCUUCCUGACUCAGACUCUCCCAGAGAAGAUCCGAAAAGAGAAGAUGAAGCGCAACGAGCUGUAGAACAGUCUCCGCCACCUUUCUCCUCUCAUCAUUUUUUUAUUCAGUGAUUCCAUUGUUAAAAAGUCAGUCAAAAGGCAUUGCAUAAUAUUCAUUAAUACAAUCAACAUUUUUGUGGUAAUCUCACAAUUACCACAAAAUCUGUUUAUUAAAAUGCACUCUGCAUUUUAAUAAACUUGGGAAGGAGAUCCUCAAUUUCUUUUACAAAUUACACAAUUUAACUCAAAUGUUUAAUGUUGGGUAAUAACCUUUUAUUUUAGAUAGUUUCAGGCAAUACUUCUUUAAAAUCUAGAAGCUUGAAAAUAAAUGCCUCCUUAAUUAGUGGGAUACUUCUAGUCUGUGAAAUGCAUUUAAUAAUCUGGAUUCCCAUAUCAAAUAAAAAUCUUCUGAAGCUGCAGUGUGAAACAUUGUACUGAA